UUGGGCGACGGUGGGCCAAAUGGUAUUUGGCUAGCACGUGGUAAAUUAAAAUUUGUGUCACGUGCUUUUGUUUACAAAUAAACAGCGCCACCCAUCGGUGACCUGAGACACCGGUUGUCUUUGGUGCUGUGUAAACAAAGUGACAUUUUCCGCAAAUAAUAUAGUUUGCGUAAUUCAAUCCGUCCAAGAUGUCACAAAGACGUUUGGCCCCGAUGCGGGGGCACACGUUAAUACCUAUCUGGAAUACAGAAGAAUUGUUGGCGAUGAUGAUGGGGGUGUCAUGAUGUCACCUGAGGACUUUGAAGACUACCAGAGAAGAGUUCUGCCAAUGCGUCAAAAGAACCGCCUGUAUGUCAGCUGGUAUUCUCCACCGACUGGUAUCGACUGCAAGCUGGUUGGCCCAGAGAUGCCAUGCUUCUGUACUCACAGAUAUAAGCAACACAAAACAUACUUUGAAACAAUCCCGGAGGCCCGCCCCAUCCUUCUAGCCGUGCAAAGUCCGUGGCUGCCGCAGUAACUCGUACAGCUACGUCCCAUCCCGCUGAAUGGCUCUCAACUAAUCAGGUGCGGCUGUAAAAAUUACUCAGAUGAUUUCACUGCAUUGGCUCAUCUUACAUUUAAACAAAUGGCUGCAAUGGAUAGCUUGAACCAAAAAAUCUAUCUCUAGACACCAACAUUAACCACCUAGCUGAAUUGGUUGCAGAGGUACGGAGCCCUACAAGUAUUGGCGGCCAUCUUGGAUUUCACUGCAUUGGCCUAUCUCACAUUGAAACUGAUGGCUGCAAUGGAUAGCUUGACCCCAAAAACCUAUGUCUAGACACCAACAUCAACCUCCUAGCUGAAUUGGUUGCAGAGUUACAGAGCCCCUACAGGUAUUGGCGGCCAUCUUGGAUUUCACUGUAUUGGCCUAUCUCACAUUGAAACUGAUGGCUGCAAUGGAUAGCUUGACCCCGAAAACCUAUGUCUAGACACCAACAUCAACCUCCUAGCUGAAAUGGUUGCAGAGGUACGGAGUCCUACAGGUAUUGGCGGCCAUCUUGGAUUUCACUGCAUUGGCCUAUCUUUACAUUGAAACUGCUGGCUGCAAUGGAUAGCUUGACCCCAAAAACCUAUGUCUAGACACCAACAUCAACCUCCUAGCUGAAUUGGUUGCAGAGUUACAGAGCCCCUACAGGUAUUGGCGGCCAUCUUUGAUUUCACUGCAUUGGCUCAUCUGACAUUGAAACAAAUGGCUGCAAUGGAUAGCUUGACCCCAAAAACCUAUGUCUAGACACCAACAUCAACCUCCUAGCUGAAUUGGUUGCAGAGGAACGCAGCCCUACAGGUAUUGGCGGCCAUCUUGGAUUUCACUGCAUUGGCCUAUCUUACAUUGAAACUGAUGGCUGCAAUGGAUAGCUUGACCCCAAAAACCUAUGUCUAUGGGGAUCUAUGUGAGUUUUAGGUCCUACGUACAGGUCUCGAACUUGUAAAAUCUGUAACCAGGCCUCCAUGGAUGAAGAGAUUGCCCCAUACUUGGGAGACUGUUUUGAAACCUUCGCUAAUUUUGGAAGAUCGGUGCCUGGCUAUUUGGUUUUAAAAACCCUAUUUUUUCCCAUCAAAACAGCACCUUCCAUUAUUCAAACUAGCAUAUACCCAUAGAGCGGGCAAAGUUGAAAUGUAAUAUACACAUUAGUUAAAUGGGCACGAUGAUUGACCUACAUUAAAUUUCUAACGUUACUGAAGUUUUAUUAAAGGUUAAACACGAAAUUAACUGCAUUUAGGGACUUAUUGCUGCUAUCUACAUGCAACCCCCAAUAGAUUGAUUGGAGUAUGCUAUUUUGCACAAUGCAUUGAGACCAGUGACAGCAGGUCCCGUUCCAAAUAAGGCCCUCACAUAUUAGGCAUAUCACCUACCCACUCCCGUACCCAAUGCCACUGUCGGACCAAAGCCAGGCGCAUGGAGAGAUGCAGAACGCAAUUCAAACUGACAACAUCAGUCAGUAAAGAAGAAAACAAAGAGCAGCGCUGGCCACUGUACAUAUUUUGUCCAUCCUGGCAUAACUGUUUAUUGAUACCCUGACUGCAUGUUCCGGUAAGCCACUCUGCAGAAUUUGCCUUAUCACUCAGGUCAGUGUUUCUCGAAUAGAACUAAAAUAGAACAGGCUAAUCAUUAAUCUCCCUGCUAAUACCCUGCACCAUGGACCAGGUUGUAUAGCACUACAUACGUGCUGGAAGCUAAUACUGAUGUGGCAGGGAGAAUAUGCGUGAAGUUUGUGUAUGCUUUUGAGAAUGAGCGGAUCUCUCCAGUCGACGUGCUCUCUGAAAAGUUGCUAUUUAUUCACCCUCAGUGACACUCUUACUUAUGAUCCACACCUACGAAACCAAAAGUUGCAAGAAUUCGACACAUUUUCGAGGCCCAAUUUUGAAACAAAAAUCGCCUCCUAUUUAGCGGCCACAACGCGCAUUAUAGUAUAGACUAGCAUAUACCAAUGGAGCGGGCAAAGUUGAAAUGUAAUAUACAUUAGUUAAAUGGGCACGAUGAUUGAGCUACAUUAAAUUUCUAACGUUACUGAAGUUUUAUUAAAGGUUAAACACGAAAUUAACUGCAUUUAGGGACUUAUUGCUGCUAUCUACAUGCAACCCCCAAUAGAUUGAUUGGAGUACGCUAUUUUGCACAAUGCGUUGAGACCAGUGACAGCAGGUCCUGUUCCAAAUAAGGCCCUCACAUAUUAGGCAUAUCACCUACCCACUCCCGUACCCAAUGCCACUGUCGGACCAAAGCCAGGCGCAUGGAGAGAUGCAGAACGCAUUUCAAACUGACAACAUCAGUCAGUAAAGAAUAAAACAAACAGCAAGCGCUGGCCACUGUACAUAUUUUGUCCAUCCUGGCAUAACUGUUUAUUGAUACCCUGACUACAUGUUCCGGUAGGCCACUCUGCAGAAUUUGCCUUAUCACUCAGGUCAGUGUUUCUCGAAUAGAACUAAAUUAGAACAGGCUAA
Molecule: long non-coding RNA, 2979 nt
Organism: Lineus longissimus
Lineage: Eukaryota; Metazoa; Nemertea; Pilidiophora; Heteronemertea; Lineidae
Exons: 4
Source: RefSeq, a predicted model, not a curated record